CCUACGGGAGGCAGCAGUGGGGGAUAUUGCACAAUGCGGGAAACACUGAUGCAGCGACGCCGCGUGUGUGACGACGGUCCUCUGGAUUGUAAACCACUGUCCCAAGGGACGAAGAUGACGGUAGCUGCGGAGGAAGCUCCGGCUAACUACGUGACAGCAGCCGCGGUAAUACGUAGGGAGCGAGCGUUGUCCGGAAUUACUGGGUGUAAAGGGAGCGUAGGCGGGACUGCAAGUUGGGGGUAAAAUCUACCGGCUAAACCGUUAGCCGAACGCAAAACUGCAGUUCUUGAGUGAAGUAGAGGCAGGCGGAAUUCCUGGUGUAGCGGUGAAAUGCGUAGAUAUUAGGAGGAAAACCAGUGGCGAAGGCGGCCAGCUGGGUUUUAACUGACGCUGAGGCGCGAAAGUGUGGGGAGCAAACAGGAUUAGAUACCCUUGUAGUC
This 440-nucleotide ribosomal RNA is filed under the name uncultured bacterium. RNAcentral's name for it is "partial 16S ribosomal RNA". It matches the Rfam family "Bacterial small subunit ribosomal RNA", at positions 338 to 795 of the family's 1533-position model. The record is from RNAcentral.